RNAcentral lists this ribosomal RNA (253 nucleotides) under uncultured bacterium. RNAcentral describes it as "partial 16S ribosomal RNA". It matches the Rfam family "Bacterial small subunit ribosomal RNA", at positions 524 to 776 of the family's 1533-position model. The record is from RNAcentral.
UACGUAGGGUGCAAGCGUUGUCCGGAAUUAUUGGGCGUAAAGAGCUCGUAGGCGGUUUGUCACGUCGGCUGUGAAAACCCGAGGCUCAACCUCGGGCCUGCAGUCGAUACGGGCAGACUAGAGUAUGGCAGGGGAGACUGGAAUUCCUGGUGUAGCGGUGAAAUGCGCAGAUAUCAGGAGGAACUCCGGUGGCGAAGGCGGCAUACUGGACCACUACUGACGCUGAUGCGCGAAAGCCAGGGGAGCAAACGGG